CUUAUGAAGUUAGCGGCGGACGGGUGAGUAACACGUGGGUAACCUGCCCAUAAGACUGGGAUAACUCCGGGAAACCGGGGCUAAUACCGGAUAACAUUUUGAACCGCAUGGUUCGAAAUUGAAAGGCGGCUUCGGCUGUCACUUAUGGAUGGACCCGCGUCGCAUUAGCUAGUUGGUGAGGUAACGGCUCACCAAGGCAACGAUGAGCGUAGCCGACCUGAGAGGGUGAUCGGCCACACUGGGACUGAGGGGUAUCGACACGGCCCACGACUGACCUACGGGAGGCAGCAGUAGGGAAUCUUCCGCAAUGGACGAAAGUCUGACGGAGCAACGCCGCGUGAGUGAUGAAGGCUUUCGGGUCGUAAAACUCUGUUGUUAGGGAAGAACAAGUGCUAGUUGAAUAAGCUGGCACCUUGACGGUACCUAACCAGAAAGCCACGGCUAACUACGUGCCAGCAGCCGCGGUAAUACGUAGGUGGCAAGCGUUAUCCGGAAUUAUUGGGCGUAAAGCGCGCGCAGGUGGUUUCUUAAGUCUGAUGUGAAAGCCCACGGCUCAACCGUGGAGGGUCAUUGGAAACUGGGAGACUUGAGUGCAGAAGAGGAAAGUGGAAUUCCAUGUGUAGCGGUGAAAUGCGUAGAGAUAUGGAGGAACACCAGUGGCGAAGGCGACUUUCUGGUCUGUAACUGACACUGAGGCGCGAAAGCGUGGGGAGCAAACAGGAUUAGAUACCCUGGUAGUCCACGCCGUAAACGAUGAGUGCUAAGUGUUAGAGGGUUUCCGCCCUUUAGUGCUGAAGUUAACGCAUUAAGCACUNCCGCCUGGGGAGUACGGCCGCAAGGCUGAAACUCAAAGGAAUUGACGGGGGCCCGCACAAGCGGUGGARCAUGUGGUUUAAUUYGAAGCAACGCGAAGAACCUUACCAGGUCUUGACAUCCUCUGACAACCCUAGAGAUAGGGCUUCUCCUUCGGGAGCAGAGUGACAGGUGGUGCAUGGUUGUCGUCAGC
This 1006-nucleotide ribosomal RNA is filed under the name Bacillus sp. (in: firmicutes). RNAcentral describes it as "bacterial SSU rRNA". It matches the Rfam family "Bacterial small subunit ribosomal RNA", at positions 83 to 1059 of the family's 1533-position model. The record is from RNAcentral. Lineage: Bacteria; Bacillati; Bacillota; Bacilli; Caryophanales; Bacillaceae.